GGGUGUCAGGGUUUCCCUCAGUGCUGCGUGGCCUGCCCACCCGUGCUCCUUCCCCAGGGGCCUGGAUCAUCACAGGGGGGUCCCACACCGGCGUCAUGAAGCAGGUAGGUGAGGCGGUGCGGGACUUCAGCCUGAGCAGCAGCUACAAGGAAGGCGAGCUCAUCACCAUCGGAGUCGCCACCUGGGGCACUGUCCACCGCCGCGAGGGCCUGAUCCAUCCCACGGGCAGCUUCCCCGCUGAGUACAUACUGGAUGAGGACGGCCAAGGGAACCUGACCUGCCUAGACAGCAACCACUCUCACUUCAUCCUCGUGGACGACGGGACCCAUGGCCAGUACGGGGUGGAGAUUCCUCUGAGGACCAGGCUGGAGAAGUUCAUAUCGGAGCAGACCAAGGAAAGAGGAGGCGUGGCCAUCAAGAUCCCCAUCGUGUGCGUGGUGCUGGAGGGCGGCCCGGGCACAUUGCACACCAUCUACAAUGCCACCACCAACGGCACCCCCUGCGUGGUCGUGGAGGGCUCGGGCCGCGUGGCCGACGUCAUUGCCCAGGUGGCCAACCUGCCUGUCUCGGACAUCACUAUCUCCCUGAUCCAGCAGAAACUGAGCGUGUUCUUCCAGGAGAUGUUUGAGACCUUCACGGAAAGCAGAAUUGUCGAGUGGACCAAAAAGAUCCAAGAUAUCGUCCGGAGGCGGCAGCUGCUGACUGUCUUCCGGGAAGGCAAGGAUGGUCAGCAGGACGUGGAUGUGGCCAUCCUGCAGGCCUUGCUGAAAGCCUCACGGAGCCAAGACCACUUUGGCCACGAGAACUGGGACCACCAGCUGAAAUUGGCAGUGGCAUGGAAUCGCGUGGACAUUGCCCGCAGUGAGAUCUUCACGGAUGAGUGGCCGUGGAAGCCUUCAGAUCUGCACCCCACGAUGACGGCUGCACUCAUUUCCAACAAGCCUGAGUUCGUGAAACUCUUCCUGGAGAAUGGGGUGCAGCUGAAGGAGUUCGUCACCUGGGACACCUUGCUCUACCUGUAUGAGAACCUGGAGCCCUCCUGCCUGUUCCACAGCAAGCUGCAGAAGGUGCUGGCCGAGGAGACCGAGCGCCUGGCUUGCGCGCCCGCGGCGCCCUGCCUGCAGAUGCACCACGUGGCCCGGGUGCUGCGGGAGCUGCUGGGGGACUUCACGCAGCCGCUUUACCCCCGGCCCCGGCACAGCAACCGGCCGCGGCUCCUGCUGCCCGUGCCCCACGUCAAGCUCAACGUGCAGGGAGUGAGCCUCCGGUCCCUCUACAAGCGUUCCUCAGGCCAUGUGACCUUCACCAUGGACCCCAUCCGCGACCUUCUCAUUUGGGCCAUCGUCCAGAACCGUCGGGAGCUGGCAGGAAUCAUCUGGGCUCAGAGCCAGGACUGCAUCGCAGCAGCCUUGGCCUGCAGCAAGAUCCUGAAGGAGCUGUCCAAGGAGGAGGAGGACACGGACAGCUCGGAGGAGAUGCUGGCGCUGGCAGAGGAGUAUGAGCACAGAGCCAUCGGGGUCUUCACUGAGUGCUACCGGAAGGACGAAGAGAGAGCUCAGAAACUGCUCACCCGCGUGUCCGAGGCCUGGGGGAAGACCACCUGCCUGCAGCUCGCCCUGGAGGCCAAGGACAUGAAGUUUGUGUCUCACGGGGGCAUCCAGGCCUUCCUGACCAAGGUGUGGUGGGGCCAGCUCUCCGUGGACAAUGGGCUGUGGCGUGUGACCCUGUGCAUGCUGGCCUUCCCGCUGCUCCUCACCGGCCUCAUCUCCUUCAGGGAGAAGAGGCUGCAGGAGGUGGGCGCCCCCGCGGCCCGCGCCCGUGCCUUCUUCACCGCGCCCGUGGUGGUCUUCCACCUGAACAUCCUCUCCUACUUUGCCUUCCUCUGCCUGUUCGCCUAUGUGCUCAUGGUGGAUUUCCAGCCUGUGCCCUCCUGGUGCGAGUGUGCCAUCUACCUCUGGCUCUUCUCCUUGGUGUGCGAGGAGAUGCGGCAGCUCUUCUAUGACCCUGAUGAGUGCGGGCUGAUGAAGAAGGCAGCCUUGUACUUCAGUGACUUCUGGAAUAAGCUGGACGUCGGCGCAAUCUUGCUCUUCGUGGCAGGGCUGACCUGCAGAUGAAGGACGUCUUCUUCUUCCUCUUCCUGCUGGCUGUGUGGGUGGUGUCCUUCGGAGUGGCCAAGCAGGCCAUCCUCAUCCACAACGAGCGCCGGGUGGACUGGCUGUUCCGAGGGGCCGUCUACCACUCCUACCUCACCAUCUUCGGGCAGAUCCCGGGCUACAUCGACGGCGUGAACUUCAACCCGGAGCACUGCAGCCCCAACGGCACCGACCCCUACAAGCCCAAGUGCCCCGAGAGCGACGCGACGCAGCAGAGGCCGGCCUUCCCCGAGUGGCUGACGGUCCUCCUACUCUGCCUCUACCUGCUCUUCACCAACAUCCUGCUGCUCAACCUCCUCAUCGCCAUGUUCAACUACACCUUCCAGCAGGUGCAGGAGCACACGGACCAGAUCUGGAAGUUCCAGCGCCACGACCUGAUCGAGGAGUACCACAGCCGCCCCGCCGCGCCGCCCCCCUUCAUCCUCCUUAGCCACCUGCAGCUCUUCAUCAAGAGGGUGGUCCUGAAGACUCCAGCCAAGAGGCACAAGCAGCUCAAGAACAAGCUGGAGAAGAAUGAGGAGGCGGCCCUGCUAUCCUGGGAGAUCUACCUGAAGGAGAACUACCUCCAGAACCAGCAGUUCCAGCAAAAGCAGCGGCCUGAGCAGAAGAUCGAGGACAUCAGCAAUAAGGUUGACGCCAUGGUGGACCUGCUGGACCUGGACCCACUGAAGAGGUCGGGCUCCAUGGAGCAGAGGUUGGCCUCCCUGGAGGAGCAGAUGGCCCAGACAGCCCGAGCCCUGCACUGGAUCGUGAGGACGCUGCGGGCCAGCGGCUUCAGCUCGGAGGCAGACAUCCCCACUCUGGCCUCCCAGAAGGCCACAGAGGAGCCAGAUGCUGAGCUGGGAGGCAGGAAGAAGACGGAGGAGCUGGGCGACAGCUACCACGUGAAUGCCCGGCACCUCCUCUACCCCAACUGCCCCGUCACGCGCUUCCCCGUGCCCAACGAGAAGGUGCCCUGGGAGACGGAGUUCCUGAUCUAUGACCCACCCUUUUACACGGCAGAGAGGAAGGACGCGGCCACCAUGGACCCUGUGGGAGACACCCUGGAGCCGCUGUCCACGAUCCAGUACAACGUGGUGGAUGGCCUGAGGGACCGCCGGAGCUUCCACGGGCCGUACACAGUGCAGGCCGGGUUGCCCCUGAACCCCAUGGGCCGCACGGGACUGCGUGGGCGCGGGAGCCUCAGCUGCUUUGGACCCAACCACACGCUGUACCCCAUGGUCACGCGGUGGAGGCGGAAUGAGGACGGAGUCAUCUGCAGGAAGAGCAUAAAGAAGAUGCUGGAAGUGCUGGUGGUGAAGCUCCCUCUCUCCGAGCACUGGGCCCUGCCUGGGGGCUCCCGGGAGCCAGGGGAGACGCUGCCUCGGAAGCUGAAGCGGAUCCUCCAGCAGGAGCACUGGCCGUCUUUUGAGAAUUUGCUAAAGCGCGGCAUGGAGGUGUACAAAGGCUACAUGGACGACCCGAGGAACACGGACAAUGCCUGGAUCGAGACGGUGGCCGUCAGCAUCCACUUCCAGGACCAGAACGACGUGGAGCUGAACAGGCUGAACUCUAACCUGCACGCCUGCGACUUAGGGGCCUCCAUCCGAUGGCAGGUGGUGGACAGGCGCGUCCCGCUAUAUGCGAACCACAAGACCCUCCUCCAGAAGGUGGUGGCUGAGUUCGGGGCUCACUACUGACUGUGCACUCAGGCCGGGCGGCUCCAGUCCAUAGACGGUCCCCCAGAAACCAGGGCUUCUCUCUCCUGAGCCUGUCCAGGACUCAGGCUGAUCCUGGGCCCUGCACAUGAUGGGGUUUGGUGGACCCACUGCCCCUCACGGCCGCUGCAAGUCUGCCACAGAUGACCGCAUGAACUGGACGGGGUCCAGGUGACACGGGAGGAGAGCUCAAUACAGGGCACAGGCUACUCAGAGUUGAGGGGCCCCUGGGACCCUUGGCCAUCAGGCGAGGGGCUGGGCCUGUGCAGCUGGGCCCUUGGCCAGAGUCCACUCCCUUCCUGGCUGUGUCACCCCGAGCAGCUCACCGUGGAGGUCAUCAGCCCGAGGCAAGUUCCCCGGAGAGUCGGGGUCCCCUGUGGCCCCCUCAGGCCUAUGUCUGUGACGAAGGGGCCCUGCCACUGUCCCCAAGAGGGCCUCCAUGUUUCGAGGUGCCUCAACAUGGAUCCUUGCCUGGCCUGGGCUAGGGUCACCGUCUGAACUCCUGGCUGUCAGGAUAAGCUCUGUGGGGGUACAGGAGCCCAGAGAAAGCCCGGGCCUGUCAAGAGACGCAGAGGGCCCCUGCCAGGGUUGGCCCCAGGGACCCUGGGACGAGGCUGCAGAAGCUCUCCCUCCCUACUCCCUGGGAGCCACGUGCUGGCCACGCCCAGGAAGGAGGGACGGCAUGGGCAGGAGGCGGGGACGUGGGGGCCUCCUGGUUUGGUGUCAACAGCUCACAGGAGCGUGAACCAUCAGGGCCCUCAGGAGGGGAAUGUGGUAAAACCCAAGAUGUGAAAUCUGCCAUCUCAGGCCUGGCUGGCUCUUCUGUGCUUUCCACAAAUAAAGUUCCUGACACGUUCAGGGCCUGGGGCUGUGUGAUGGCUGCCUGAAGUUCUCCUCGAUCCCCGGGUGAGCUUCCUGAGGCCUGUGGAUAUCCUGCAGCCCCUCAGCCCUACACCCCCAGUUUCUCCUCUGACCCGUCAGCUCCCUGUCUUCAUUUUCCUAAACCUGGGCUCCAGCAUCGUCCCCAAGCCCACCAGGCCAGGAUGCGGGCAUCCACAUGCCCUCCUCCUUGCUUCCCCUGUGUGGUAGUGCCAAUGUACUCUGGCACCCCUGCAGGGGCUUCGGAUGGAGCCUGGGGCUGCCUGGCCACUGAGCACUGGCUGAGGUGACGCCCAGCCUUCCCUGGAUAGGCCUCUGUCUUCCACCUGACCCGAAGCUCUCUGGCCACCCCCUUGUCCCCAGGUAU
RNAcentral lists this small RNA (5096 nucleotides) under Pongo abelii (Sumatran orangutan). RNAcentral describes it as "processed transcript". The stretch from base 3441 to 3531 matches the Rfam family "Z6 small nucleolar RNA". Lineage: Eukaryota; Metazoa; Chordata; Mammalia; Primates; Hominidae. The record is from RNAcentral.